CUUACCAGCAUGCAACUGACACUGAGGCACGAAAGCGUGGGUAUCAAACAGGAUUAGAUACCCUGGUAGUCCACGCAGUAAACGAUGAAUACUAGCUGUUGGCGAUAUAUGGUCAGCGGUACAGCGAAAGUGUUAAGUAUUCCACCUGGGGAGUACGCCGGCAACGGUGAAACUCAAAGGAAUUGACGGGGGCCCGCACAAGCGGAGGAACAUGUGGUUUAAUUCGAUGAUACGCGAGGAACCUUACCCGGGCUUGAAAGUUAGUGACGGACUGUGAAAGCGGUCUUCCCUUCGGGGCACGAAACUAGGUGCUGCAUGGUUGUCGUCAGCUCGUGCCGUGAGGUGUCGGCUUAAGUGCCAUAACGAGCGCAACCCUUGCCGUUAGUUGCCAGCGGGUAAUGCCGGGAACUCUAGCGGGACUGCUACUGUAAGGUAGAGGAAGGUGGGGAUGACGUCAAAUCAGCACGGCCCUUACGUCCGGGGCGACACACGUGUUACAAUGGCAGGUACAGAGGGUUGCUACCCCGCGAGGGGAUGCUAAUCUCAUAAAACCUGUCUCAGUUCGGAUCGGAGUCUGCAACUCGACUCCGUGAAGCUGGA
RNAcentral lists this ribosomal RNA (600 nucleotides) under uncultured bacterium. Its description in RNAcentral is "bacterial SSU rRNA". It matches the Rfam family "Bacterial small subunit ribosomal RNA", at positions 725 to 1330 of the family's 1533-position model. The record is from RNAcentral.